This is a long non-coding RNA of Chiroxiphia lanceolata (lance-tailed manakin), 165 nucleotides long. RefSeq lists it as uncharacterized. Lineage: Eukaryota; Metazoa; Chordata; Aves; Passeriformes; Pipridae. The record is from RefSeq and is a predicted model, not a curated record. The transcript has 3 exons.
UAAGGGGGGUACUUUUGAAUUAGAUGAUCAAUGGAGCAUAGAGGCGUGAGAAAGAAAUCAUAUUAGGAUGUGAAACCAGCUAGAGUAUGGUACAAUGUAACUUCAUGGCACAAGCGAAUUGUAAGGUCCAUUGUGCUUUUUAGCAAGUCAGUCAGAACGGAAGAG